This 1425-nucleotide ribosomal RNA is filed under the name metagenome. RNAcentral describes it as "bacterial SSU rRNA". It matches the Rfam family "Archaeal small subunit ribosomal RNA". The record is from RNAcentral.
UCCCGUUGAUCCUGCGGGAGAUUGCUGCUAUUAGAGUUCGACUAAGCCAUGCAAGUCUUCUAGUAAUAGAGGCAGACUGCUCAGUAACACGUCAAUAAUCUGCCCUUAGAUCUGGAAUAACCUUGGGAAACUGAGGCCAAUGCCGGAUAGGAAAAAAGUAUUGGAAUAUCUUUUUUCUCAAAGCUUCGGCGUCUAAGGAUGAGUUGGCGGCGGAUUAGGUUGUUGGUGGGGUAAAGGCCCACCAAGCCUAAGAUCCGUAGGAGCCAUGAGAGUGGUAGCUCCGAGAAGGACACUGAGAUACUGGUCCUAGCCCUACGGGGUGCAGCAGGCGCGGAUCCUUUACAAUGCACGCAAGUGUGAUAAGGGAACUCUAAGUGCUUAUGCUUUGCAUAGGCUUUUGCCAAGAGUAAAUAUCUUGGCGAAUAAGCGAUGGGCAAGACCGGUGCCAGCAGCCGCGGUAAUACCGGCGUCGCAAGUGGCAAUCACAAUUAUUGGGCCUAAGCGUCCGUAGCCGGUUUAGUAAAUUCUUCGUGAAAUCGUUGUGCUCAACAUAACGGUGUGCGAAGGAGACUGCUAAACUUGGGACAGGUGAGGAGUCAGAGGUAUUCUGAGGGGAGCGGUAAAAUGCUAUAAUCCUUGGAGGACCAUCUGUGGCGAAAGCGUCUGACUAGAACUGAUCCGACGGUGAGGGACGAAAGCUAGGGGAGCAAAGCGGAUUAGAUACCCGUGUAGUCCUAGCCAUAAACGCUGCGAGCAAGGUGUUGCAUAUUCUUCGUGAAUAUGCGGUAUCGAAACGAAGGUGUUAAGCUCGCCGCCUGGGAAGUAUGGUCGCAAGACUGAAACUUAAAGGAAUUGGCGGGGGAGCACUACAAGGGGUGCGGCGUGCGGUUUAAUCUAAUUCAACGCAGAGAAUCUCACCAGAAGCGACGGCAGGAUGAAGGUCAGGUUAAAGGCCUUACUCGACAAGCCGAGAGGUAGUGCAUGGCCAUCGUCAGCUCGUGCCGUAAGGUGUCCUGUUAAGUCAGGCAACGAGCGAGACCUGUAUUUACAAUUGCUAACGAACUAUGUGAUCGAGCACAUUGUAGGAACUGCCCGGGAAACCGGGAGGAAGGUGCAGGCUACGGUAGGUCUGUAUGCUCCGAAUCUUCUGGGCUACACGCGCGCAACAAUGGUAAGGACAAUGGGAUGCGACUCUGUAAAGAGAAGCUAAUCCUCUAAACCUUAUCUAAGUUCAGAUUGAGGAUUGUAACUCAUCCUCAUGACGCUGGAAUCCCUAGUAAUCGGAAUUUAUCAUAUUCCGGUGAAUAUGUCCCUGCUCCUUGCACACACCGCCCGUCAAACCAUCCGAGCUGGGUUUUGAUGAGGCUUGCCUUUUAGGCAAUUCGAAUCGAAGCUUAGUGAGGCGGGUUAAGUCGUCACAAGGUA